RNAcentral lists this ribosomal RNA (504 nucleotides) under uncultured bacterium. RNAcentral's name for it is "partial 16S ribosomal RNA". It matches the Rfam family "Bacterial small subunit ribosomal RNA", at positions 29 to 523 of the family's 1533-position model. The record is from RNAcentral.
AUUGAACGCCGGCGGCAGGCCUAACACAUGCAAGUCGAACGGUAGCACAGAGAGCUUGCUCUCGGGUGACGAGUGGCGGACGGGUGAGUAACGUCUGGGAAACUGCCCGGUGGAGGGGGAUAACUACUGGAAACGGUAGCUAAUACCGCAUAACGUCGCAAGACCAAAGUGGGGGACCUUCGGGCCUCACACCAUCGGAUGUGCCCAGAGGGGAUUAGCUAGUAGGUGGGGUAAUGGCUCACCUAGGCGACGAUCCCUAGCUGGUCUGAGAGGAUGACCAGCCACACUGGAACUGAGACACGGUCCAGACUCCUACGGGAGGCAGCAGUGGGGAAUAUUGCACAAUGGGCGCAAGCCUGAUGCAGCCAUGCCGCGUGUAUGAAGAAGGCCUUCGGGUUGUAAAGUACUUUCAGCGGGGAGGAAGGCGGUGAAGUUAAUAGCUUCACCGAUUGACGUUACCCGCAGAAGAAGCACCGGCUAACUCCGUGCCAGCCGCCGCAGUAA